UACGGGGGAGGCAAGCGUUGUUCGGAAUUACUGGGCGUAAAGGGCUCGUAGGCGGCCAACUAAGUCAGACGUGAAAUCCCUCGGCUUAACCGGGGAACUGCGUCUGAUACUGGAUGGCUUGAGAUUGGGAGAGGGAUGCGGAAUUCCAGGUGUAGCGGUGAAAUGCGUAGAUAUCUGGAGGAACACCGGUGGCGAAGGCGGCAUCCUGGACCAAUACUGACGCUGAGGUGCGAAAGCGUGGGGAGCAAACAGG
RNAcentral lists this ribosomal RNA (253 nucleotides) under uncultured bacterium. RNAcentral describes it as "partial 16S ribosomal RNA". It matches the Rfam family "Bacterial small subunit ribosomal RNA", at positions 524 to 776 of the family's 1533-position model. The record is from RNAcentral.